RNAcentral lists this ribosomal RNA (458 nucleotides) under uncultured bacterium. Its description in RNAcentral is "partial 16S ribosomal RNA". It matches the Rfam family "Bacterial small subunit ribosomal RNA", at positions 28 to 507 of the family's 1533-position model. The record is from RNAcentral.
GACGAACGCUGGCGGCGUGCUUCAUACAUGCAAGUCGAACGAGAAGCUGACUUCGGUCAGUGGAAAGUGGCGGACGGGUGAGUAAUAUGUAGGAAAUCUGCCUUUAGGAGGGGGACAACAGAGGGAAACUUCUGCUAAUACCCCAUAUGAGCGUAGCUGAAAUGCUAUUCUUGAAAACUCCGGUGCCUAAAGAUGAGCCUGCAUCUGAUUAGCUAGUUGGUAGUGUAAUGGACUACCAAGGCGACGAUCAGUAGCUGGUUUGAGAGGAUGAUCAGCCACAAUGGGACUGAGACACGGCCCAUACUCCUACGGGAGGCAGCAGUAGGGAAUUUUGCGCAAUGGGCGAAAGCCUGACGAAGCAACGCCGCGUGAACGAUUAAGCCCUUCGGGGUGUAAAGUUCUGUCGGUGGGGACGAAACUUGACGGUACCCACAGAGGAAGCACCGGCUAACUCCGUG